GUCUCCGUGGCGCAACGGAUAGCGCGUUGGACUUCUAAUUCGGAGGCUGUGGGUUCGAAUCCCACCGGAGAUG
RNAcentral lists this transfer RNA (73 nucleotides) under Saccoglossus kowalevskii. Its description in RNAcentral is "tRNA-Arg". It matches the Rfam family "tRNA". From Rfam's summary of the family: Transfer RNA (tRNA) molecules are approximately 80 nucleotides in length. Their secondary structure includes four short double-helical elements and three loops (D, anti-codon, and T loops). Lineage: Eukaryota; Metazoa; Hemichordata; Enteropneusta; Harrimaniidae. The record is from RNAcentral.